CAGCUUAAUAUGCUUUAAGGUUCUUUCAUUAUGAAAGCUAAGAGGGAAAGAGGUGAGAAUCCUCUACAGCCCCCGCUACUGUGUGUAGGGAUGAAAUCUUUCAUAAACCACUAUCUAGCUUUUAUAUAGAUGGGAAGGGGAAGAGAGUAAUAUGAUCUACGAGUCAGGAUACCUGCCUUAAAGUAAGUAACUAA
This 194-nucleotide non-coding RNA is filed under the name Caldisalinibacter kiritimatiensis. The record is from RNAcentral. Lineage: Bacteria; Bacillati; Bacillota; Tissierellia; Tissierellales; Thermohalobacteraceae.